Molecule: long non-coding RNA, 1013 nt
Filed under: Cicer arietinum (chickpea)
Lineage: Eukaryota; Viridiplantae; Streptophyta; Magnoliopsida; Fabales; Fabaceae
Description: long non-coding RNA (CARI_LNC002307)
Source: RNAcentral
UUAAUACAAAUAUUAUUUCAUACCAUUUUCAAUCUCAAAAUUAGCCUACUUAAAUAUAAAUUCAUCCACAUAAUUGUUUUUUUUUUAUGAUACUAACAAGAGUUUACACAAUAAAAUAACAACAACAUCUCCAUAAAACAAAACAUUGACUUGAUUUACAUUAUAUAAUUGGUGUACACAAACUAUAAUUCAACACAAAUAACACAACUCGUCUUUUACUAGUAAACUCUUAUGUCUCCUUCACAUCACAACAUUCUUCACUUUUUGCAAUAAUCAUUAUUAAAACUUUUAACUUCAUAAUUUCAUUUCAAAAAUUAGCAAUCACUUCAUUAAAACUAACAAGUUUUUAUUAAUUUUUUAAUUCUUUCUAUGUAGAAUAUCUCAUUUCAUAUUGUGAAGUCCUGGUUUGAUGAAAACCAUACAUCAAUGAUUGUUGAAGAUGAUGAGAUUGAAAAAAUUUAUCCUUGUUGAAGCAAUCAUGAAAAAUAUCCUAAAAUUGGGUGGUAUGAAUAUGUGAAAGAGAAGAAAGUCAAGAGAAAAGAUGUCCUCAUUUUCCUUGUUGUUGACCCUCAUAGAAGGAUUAGUGUCUUCACACACAAGGAGGACAAAUAGUGAUAGGGUUUUGAGUGUUUUACCUCUUGUUUCUUCUUAACGUUUUCAACAAGUUUUGUGAGGUUUUGAACUGCUUUCAUGACAUCCUCCAACAAAAUAGUAGAUGCAACAUGACUUUGAAUUGCAUCAACAUUUUCAACAUCACUUAAUUUGGAAACAAAAUAAUCACUAUUAACAUCAAAAGUUUCCUUCUUAUUGCUGCGACAUAAAUUUUACAAAAUCAUUCAUUAGAAAUAAGCAUUUCAUCUAUCCUUAACAAAACAUAACUUAUAAUAUGUAUAAUGUAUAUUACUUACCCAUUGUUUGGGGAUACAUGUUGAUGUUCACCCAGAAAGAAAAAAAUACAUGUUGCUUUGUUCCAUCAUUAACCACAAUUGAAACUCAGUAUCACUCAAUGUUUU